RNAcentral lists this ribosomal RNA (253 nucleotides) under uncultured bacterium. RNAcentral's name for it is "partial 16S ribosomal RNA". It matches the Rfam family "Bacterial small subunit ribosomal RNA", at positions 524 to 776 of the family's 1533-position model. The record is from RNAcentral.
CACGUAGGGCGCGAGCGUUGUCCGGAAUUAUUGGGCGUAAAGAGCUCGUAGGCGGCCUGUUGCGUCCGCUGUGAAAGCCCGGGGCUUAACCCCGGGUCGGCAGUGGAUACGGGCAGGCUAGAGGUAGGUAGGGGAGAAUGGAAUUCCCGGUGUAGCGGUGAAAUGCGCAGAUAUCGGGAGGAACUCCGGUGGCGAAGGCGGUUCUCUGGGCCUUACCUGACGCUGAGGAGCGAAAGCGUGGGGAGCGAACAGG